UACAGAGGUCCCGAGCGUUGUUCGGAUUCACUGGGCGUAAAGGGUGCGUAGGUGGCGGUGAAAGUUUGAUGUGAAAUCUCCAGGCUCAACCUGGAAACUGCAUUGAAAACUGCGUCGCUUGAGGUUUGGAGGGGGGACUGGAAUUCUCGGUGUAGCAGUGAAAUGCGUAGAUAUCGAGAGGAACACCAGUGGCGAAGGCGAGUCCCUGGACAACACCUGACACUGAGGCACGAAAGCUAGGGGAGCAAACAGG
RNAcentral lists this unclassified non-coding RNA (253 nucleotides) under uncultured Verrucomicrobiota bacterium. RNAcentral describes it as "uncultured Verrucomicrobia bacterium contains 16S-23S intergenic spacer region". It matches the Rfam family "Bacterial small subunit ribosomal RNA", at positions 524 to 776 of the family's 1533-position model. Lineage: Bacteria; Pseudomonadati; Verrucomicrobiota. The record is from RNAcentral.